GACGAACGCUGGCGGCGUGCUUAACACAUGCAAGUCGAACGGAAAGGCCCUGCUUUUGUGGGUUGCUCGAUUGGCGAACGGGUGUGUAACACGUGAGUCACCUGCCCUUUACUUUGGGAUAACUUCUGGUACCUCGUUCUACUACCGCAUAUGUGCUCCUGCUGCAUGUUGGGGUUUGGAUUGUUUCGGCGGUUGUGGAUGGACUGGCGGCUUAUCAGCUUGUUGGUGGGGUAGUGGCUUACCAAGGCUUUGACGGGUAGCCGGCCUGAGAGGGUGACAGGAGACAAUGGGAAGGAGAUAGGGACCAGAAUGGAACGGGAGGCAGGAGAGGGGAAGAUAGCAAAAGGGGAGGAAGGAUGAUGCAGAAACGCAGCGAGCGGGAUGAAGGCCUUGGGGGUGAAAACAGAUUUCGGGUGUGACGAAGAGUGAGGGACGGUAAUGGGUAAAGAAGCACCGGCUAACUACGUG
This 468-nucleotide ribosomal RNA is filed under the name uncultured bacterium. RNAcentral's name for it is "partial 16S ribosomal RNA". It matches the Rfam family "Bacterial small subunit ribosomal RNA", at positions 28 to 507 of the family's 1533-position model. The record is from RNAcentral.